RNAcentral lists this ribosomal RNA (301 nucleotides) under uncultured bacterium. RNAcentral describes it as "partial 16S ribosomal RNA". It matches the Rfam family "Bacterial small subunit ribosomal RNA", at positions 509 to 809 of the family's 1533-position model. The record is from RNAcentral.
CAGUAGCCGCGGUAAUACGUAGGUGGCAAGCGUUGUCCGGAAUUAUUGGGCGUAAAGCGCGCGCAGGCGGAUCAGUCAGUCUGUCUUAAAAGUUCGGGGCUUAACCCCGUGAUGGGAUGGAAACUGCUGAUCUAGAGUAUCGGAGAGGAAAGUGGAAUUCCUGGUGUAGCGGUGAAAUGCGUAGAUAUUAGGAAGAACACCAGUGGCGAAGGCGACUUUCUGGACGAAAACUGACGCUGAGGCGCGAAAGCCAGGGGAGCGAACGGGAUUAGAUACCCCCGUAGUCCCUGUCUCUUAUACA